This 336-nucleotide long non-coding RNA is filed under the name Cricetulus griseus (Chinese hamster). Its description in RNAcentral is "lncRNA (ENSCGRG00015029902.1)". The record is from RNAcentral. Lineage: Eukaryota; Metazoa; Chordata; Mammalia; Rodentia; Cricetidae.
CCUAAAUGAAGCAUUUAUAUUAUUCCACCCAAGGCUCAAGGGACAUUGGAAAAGAAGACACAGAAAGAAUUUAUGAUCUAGAACAAGAGAACCUGGAAGCAACCUAGAUGCCCCUCAACUGAAGAAUGGAUACAGAAAAUGUGGUACAUUUACACAAUGGAGUACUACUCGGCAGGAGGAGGGGGAUGAAAUCUUGAAAUUCACAGGCAAAUGGAUGGAACUAGAAGAAACCUUCUGAGUGAGGACAACUGCAUUAAGCUCUCCCAUCCCUCAUCAGACACAGCAAAACUUUCUUUCUCAUUGAGACAUGGAAUAUUUGUUCCUCCUGAUUCUCAC